CUCCAAUGUGCCUGUUUGUCAUUGCAAUAGGUGGGAGUCUUGACCGGGCACUAGCUCAACUGUGUCAUUUCUUGGUCCCCCACUCUCUUUUUUCCCUGCCAGGCUGACAGCUGGGACCUGGCCUACCUUGCCCAGGGUCACAAGGGGUCAGCUGCAGGGAACCAACCCCAUUAUGACCAUGUGCCCUGGCUGACAGGUACCAUCCCACUGAAUCCUCACACGUGCCCUGAGAGUGGGCAUUCUGAGCUGGCUGAGCAGGGAGGAAAGGCAGGCUCCGAGAGGCUAAGAACCUGGCUGGAGAUCACCUAGCCACUACAGUGUAUUUCCAGUGCCUAAAACAGUGGCUAGCACAGAGCAGGUACUCAAUCUUUGUGGAAGGAAGGAAGGAAUGAGUGGCUGGCCCUGAGAGACAUUAGCUACUUUAACCCUCAUAACAACCCCUGCAAGGUAAGUCAUUUAAAUCCCGUUCUAAAAUGAGAAAACUGAGGCUCAGAGUGGUUAAGUGAUUUGGCCAAUGUCACAAAGUCAAGAAGUGGCCAAGGUCACAAGAAUCAGUCCCCCAUCUGGCUGGCUCCAAACACUGUAUUCUUUUUUUUUUUUUUUCGCCUGUGGUUGUUUUCAUGGUAACUGUCUUAGUGUGACAAACGUGACAUUCACUUGCUUUCCUUAUUCUAAGCAGAAGAUGCUUUAACUUCAGGAUUUUGCAAAAUCUGCCCAGAACUUGUGCUCAUGCACCCGAGAAUCUAUGGGGGAGCCGGUG
This 760-nucleotide long non-coding RNA is filed under the name Homo sapiens (human). Its description in RNAcentral is "HSALNT0214678". The record is from RNAcentral. Lineage: Eukaryota; Metazoa; Chordata; Mammalia; Primates; Hominidae.